This 432-nucleotide ribosomal RNA is filed under the name uncultured bacterium. Its description in RNAcentral is "partial 16S ribosomal RNA". It matches the Rfam family "Bacterial small subunit ribosomal RNA", at positions 29 to 507 of the family's 1533-position model. The record is from RNAcentral.
AGCGAACGCUGGCGGCAGGCCUAACACAUGCAAGUCGAACGGACCCUUCGGGGUUAGUGGCGGACGGGUGAGUAACACGUGGGAACGUGCCUUUAGGUUCGGAAUAGCUCCUGGAAACGGGUGGUAAUGCCGAAUGUGCCCUUCGGGGGAAAGAUUUAUCGCCUUUAGAGCGGCCGCGUCUGAUUAGCUAGUUGGUGAGGUAACGGCUCACCAAGGCGACGAUCAGUAGCUGGUCUGAGAGGAUGACCAGCCACACUGGGACUGAGACACGGCCCAGACUCCUACGGGAGGCAGCAGUGGGGAAUCUUGCGCAAUGGGCGAAAGCCUGACGCAGCCAUGCCGCGUGAAUGAUGAAGGUCUUAGGAUUGUAAAAUUCUUUCACCGGGGACGAUAAUGACGGUACCCGGAGAAGAAGCCCCGGCUAACUUCGUG